UCUUAUUUUAAAAAUAAAAAUAAAAAUAAAAAUAUUUUUAUGUUUUAAAAUACUUAUAAAAUAAAAAUAUUUUUAUAUUUUAUUUUCAAAAUUAACUAUUACAAAAUCUUAAUAUUACAAAAUUAAGCUUCUGUUCUUCCUCCCCCAACCUUCUGUCCGUCCAACCUUCUGUUCGUCCGCCGGAAAUUGAGCUAAAAAGGUUUUAAGCAAAACUUAAUGUCUUUUAGCUUCAAGAUUGGGCAAAAAUCCGGCCAGAUCCCGGCCAGAACAACCCAGAAUGACAAAUCUCACCGAUGACUGUGUUACCGAGCAAAUCCAACCGCAGAUCUAAUCGAUCACAAAUCUCACCGAAAGACAUGGUGUUCACAAAUCUCUCUCUCUACUUCUUCAACAGAAGCCACUGUUCUGAUAUAGGAUGCGUACAACAAUGGUAGACAACGGUGAUGGAAGAACCGAGGAAAGCCAGGAAGAACGGUGAUGGAAGAACUGAUUAAGCAGAGUGCUUGUUUUUCUUUUUGUUUAAGUAAUUUAUCAAUUUAUUUAAUUGGUGUAAUGGUUUAGUUUUGUAAUUUACUAAAUUUGUUUGAUUGUUAUAAUUG
Molecule: long non-coding RNA, 599 nt
Filed under: Panax ginseng (ginseng)
Lineage: Eukaryota; Viridiplantae; Streptophyta; Magnoliopsida; Apiales; Araliaceae
Description: long non-coding RNA (PGIN_LNC009621)
Source: RNAcentral